RNAcentral lists this unclassified non-coding RNA (233 nucleotides) under uncultured fungus. Its description in RNAcentral is "partial contains 18S rRNA, ITS1, 5.8S rRNA, ITS2 and 28S rRNA". The record is from RNAcentral. Lineage: Eukaryota; Fungi.
AAGGAUCAUUAACGUAUCUCGGGCGUGCUUCCCGUGCCCUGCUCCCUCACGGUGAGCGGGUGCGUGGACGCCGUCUAACCUUCAUAAACCACUGUGAACCUUUGCGGCGGAGGCGUGCGGGCGAGAGCCUGCUAGCCGAAACCGUACCCACAAACACUAGUAACAAGAAUGUACAAGCGACUUUGUUCGCCCAUUAAACAUAACAACUUUCAACAACGGAUCUCUUGGCUCUC